This 400-nucleotide ribosomal RNA is filed under the name Strombidium basimorphum. Its description in RNAcentral is "partial small subunit ribosomal RNA". It matches the Rfam family "Eukaryotic small subunit ribosomal RNA", at positions 30 to 432 of the family's 1831-position model. Lineage: Eukaryota; Ciliophora; Spirotrichea; Strombidiidae. The record is from RNAcentral.
GCUUGUCUCAAAGAUUAAGCCAUGCAUGUCUAAGUAUAAGUAUUAUACAGCGAAACUGCGAAUGGCUCAUUAAAACAGUUAUGGUUUAUUUGAUAAUCGAAUUUUACAUGGAUAACCGUGGUAAUUCUAGAGCUAAUACAUGCUGGUGUGCCUGACUUUUCGGAAGGGCGGUAUUUAUUAGAUAACAAGCCAAUAUUCCUCACGGUCUAUUGUGGUGACUCAUAAUAACUGAUCGAAUCGCAAGGCCCUUGGCCGCGAUAAGUCAUUCAAGUUUCUGCCCCAUCAGCUUUCGAUGGUAGUGUAUUGGACUACCAUGGCGUUCACGGGUAACGGAGAAUUAGGGUUCGAUUCCGGAGAGGGAGCCUGAGAGAUGGCUACCACAUCCAAGGAAGGCAGCAGG